UGGGGAAUAUUGCGCAAUGGGGGGAACCCUGACGCAGCCAUGCCGCGUGAAUGAAGAAGGCCUUAGGGUUGUAAAGUUCUUUCGGUAUUGAGGAAGGUUGAUGUGUUAAUAGCACAUCAAAUUGACGUUAAAUACAGAAGAAGCACCGGCUAACUCCGUGCCAGCAGCCGCGGUAAUACGGAGGGUGCGAGCGUUAAUCGGAAUAACUGGGCGUAAAGGGCACGCAGGCGGUUAUUUAAGUGAGGUGUGAAAGCCCCGGGCUUAACCUGGGAAUUGCAUUUCAGACUGGGUAACUAGAGUACUUUAGGGAGGGGUAGAAUUCCACGUGUAGCGGUGAAAUGCGUAGAGAUGUGGAGGAAUACCGAAGGCGAAGGCAGCCCCUUGGGAAUGUACUGACGCUCAUGUGCGAAAGCGUGGGGAGCAAACAGGAUUAGAUACCCUGGUAGUCCACGCUGUAGACGCUGUCGAUUUGGGGGUUGGGGUUUAACUCUGGCGCCCGUAGCUAACGUGAUAAAUCGACCGCCUGGGGAGUACGGCCGCAAGGUUA
This 547-nucleotide ribosomal RNA is filed under the name uncultured bacterium. RNAcentral describes it as "bacterial SSU rRNA". It matches the Rfam family "Bacterial small subunit ribosomal RNA", at positions 355 to 896 of the family's 1533-position model. The record is from RNAcentral.